AAGGGGAGCACCGGAUCCUGGGCUGUGUCCCCGGCGCCCUGGGAUCCCCGGCCUGCGCAGCUGGAAUCCGUUCCCGGGGCGCAGCCCCCU
This 90-nucleotide microRNA precursor is filed under the name Canis lupus familiaris (dog). RNAcentral describes it as "mir-8799 microRNA precursor family". It matches the Rfam family "mir-8799 microRNA precursor family". RNAcentral also lists the same sequence under 1 other name. Lineage: Eukaryota; Metazoa; Chordata; Mammalia; Carnivora; Canidae. The record is from Rfam by way of RNAcentral.